This is a long non-coding RNA of Nymphaea colorata (pocket water lily), 1246 nucleotides long. RefSeq lists it as uncharacterized. NCBI's taxonomy places the organism in Eukaryota, Viridiplantae, Streptophyta, Magnoliopsida, Nymphaeales, Nymphaeaceae. The record is from RefSeq and is a predicted model, not a curated record. The transcript is spliced from 3 exons.
AACUCGUGGUUCUGUCUUCCUAUUUAUUCCCCACCAAUGCCUCCACUCUUCCACAGACAAGUCAAAAAAUCCAAGUUAGGAAGGAAGGAAAAACAAAGAAAGAUCACACAAACCCUAGCGCUCUUUCUGCACCCUUCUUCUAUCCGUUUCCGGCGUGGUGGAGAUGGUGCCGCGGCGGCCGCCUUAGUUGGCAGCGGCGAUGGUGGUGGCGGUGCUCUUCCUGCGGCAAGUGAAGAUUUAGGGGUUGAAGCUGCCAGCAUGAUCUGAUUCUGUCUCUCUUUCUCUCGUUCUCUCUCUGCUCCCCCAAGAUCAGAUCAUGCUGCAGUUUCAUCCGCUAACAUCUGCACGAUUUUGAGGCGCAACCUCAACUAUAUACUCUGCAACAGCCAAGCGUAUAUGGAGAUUCGUGGUAGUAGACUUAGGCCCACUAAAACUGAGUCUGGCUCACCUAUCCUGGAGAAGAACACCCACCUGACGUCUCUUUUUGCUUACCAUAAGAUUGAUGAUGGGGAAGAUGGUCAAAUCAACUGCACAGCUCGUGCAUCUAUAGAAGGUCUUUGUACUUCAGCAGAAAAUGUCAGGCACCAUAAGAGCGUUACUCCGUGUGGUCCAUAUAUCCAAUUCAUCUUUGCUUAUUGCUAGUGAGCCCAGCACUUGCUGCACUUUCAUGGAAGCAUACGCUUCAGACAUUGACAUGCAAUACCGUUUCACAACUUUGCACUGCACAGUUCUGGAAGGCUCCAUUGACAUAUAGAAAGAGGAAAGCAAUUCGUUGUGUGCAUGUAUAUGUGCAAGCGUACAUGCAUGUGUGUGUAUACGUGGUCCAUUUGAGAUAAGGCCGACUCCUUCACAUCAUAGAGAGACAAACAAUGCAAGCGUCAACACAAGGAGACGAGAGAGAGAGAGCUUAAAAUAAUUCAUCAGAUUCUCUCUCCUCAGACGUCCAUACGCAAUAUCUCCGACUGCACAGAUAUGAUUCUGGAGCGCAAGGUACUGAUGCCAUCUCUUGACUAAAACUUCAAAAAAGAAGACUGAGGAAAAGGUCUGAUAAGACAUGCAAUUAUUUUUGUCUAAUUUGAUCUUCAAAUUCUUAUAAUUGAGUCAGUACGACAAGUAAAAAACUUUGUGAUUGGUUUCUUCCUUCCUCGUUUCAGCUACUGUAAUCAUAAGAAGAAUGAGAAAUAUUUCAUCACUCCACUCCUUUUUCGUCGUUGUUUCUUUAAUUUUCCAUUUUUUCCCUCCUGUU